RNAcentral lists this unclassified non-coding RNA (206 nucleotides) under Hevea brasiliensis (rubber tree). Lineage: Eukaryota; Viridiplantae; Streptophyta; Magnoliopsida; Malpighiales; Euphorbiaceae. The record is from RNAcentral.
AUCAACUUUAUCUGCCCCUUUACCCUCAUUAACACCAUAAGAGAAAUUAUUUUCCACCAAAUUCUUGCCAUCUGACUUAAUAACACAGAGCCCAUCCGACUUAAUUUUUGCACAGAUAUUGGAGAUGUCACCAUCAAAUACUCUUACACCUUGAUCCUCAAGAAUCAUUAGCCACUUGAUAAGAGCUAGAGGAUUGGAAACUUUUG